This is a non-coding RNA of Tinamus guttatus (white-throated tinamou), 1226 nucleotides long. Lineage: Eukaryota; Metazoa; Chordata; Aves; Tinamiformes; Tinamidae. The record is from RefSeq and is a predicted model, not a curated record.
CCAUCUAAUCAAAUAAGCAGAAAGUUAGCUUUUUAAAAUAAAAAUACUCAACAUUUAUUCACAAUUUGAAAUCACCAUAGUAAAAUUGUACAAGCUAUAAGCAACCUAGGAACAUCAAAAGCUACCAGAAACAUAAGGCAAUUUGUACAACCAUUGAAAGAAAUACACAGCAUGAGUGAAAUGUUACUCCAACAAGACAAUGCUUGAUACACACUAGAGUGAUACGAACCAGCAUUAAAAAUUAAGUUCUAAACAAAAAUAAAGAUGUCAUGGCUACAAGUAUUAAAUGGUGAUAAAUACUUCAAAAAUAUAUUAAGAUAUAUGGAAAUUCUCAUUUUGUCAGGGAAAUCCAGAGAAAUUCCAGCCUUCACUGGAUUUCAAUAUACCAAUUAAGGUUUAACAUUUAACUUCCGUUCAAUAAGAACUGGUACUGCAGCCAUUACUGUUCUGUAUCAAUAGUCAUCUUCUUGUAGUGUAGUGAAAUCAGCCUUAUGUUAUUAUUAAGCCAUGUCUCUCACAUCACGAGCACUGAAUCGCUCUAAAUCAACCAAUGAGUUGCCUUUCAGUAACAAGUGCACUGCAUUUGAAGCUACAAAUCAUGUUACAUCACAGUCGGCGUCAGCCCACUUUCCAGCAUUAAUAAAAGUUGAGUUCUGAGACUUGCCUCCAAUUAAAUAACACAUCUUGAACAGAGGAUUUAGUUUCAAGUCCACCACAACUCAUCCUAGCAUAACAUUGAGCACAGUACAAGAAUCAUGGUAAUGUUUGAGUUACACCUUUAAAAAGAAAGUCCAAAGGAUGUUUAGAGACAACGGGUUUUGAACAUGCACAAAUGGUGGUUUAGUACACAUCUGUUUGUGCCGUUACUGGGUAGCGAGUGGAGCAGUUCAUAGCCAAGGGUCUGGUAAGAGAGUCGUCCAAGCCAGUUUAAAAAUAUAAACUUCUUCUUAUAGGGUCUGUUCUAUAGAAAAUAGAAUCAAAUCUGGAAAUUGUCAGUUUUGAGAGUACUUUCCCAUUGCAAGAUCCAUCCGUCAGUCUACCGCACCACCAAGAGAAAAGCUAAUCCUGCUAUUCCAAACCCUGCUGCUGCCAUUAUUGCAUUGCUUAUGGUACUGUUCUGUUCAGCGGGUUGAGAGUCCUGUCUGAAGAAGUGAUGGAAGCCAUCCUAGAAAAGCAAGAGAAAGGAACGUUGAGUUGGUUGGCUUACAAUUAAUCAAUUUUUUUAA